This 253-nucleotide ribosomal RNA is filed under the name uncultured bacterium. RNAcentral's name for it is "partial 16S ribosomal RNA". It matches the Rfam family "Bacterial small subunit ribosomal RNA", at positions 524 to 776 of the family's 1533-position model. The record is from RNAcentral.
UACGGAGGAGGCAAGCGUUAUCCGGAAUUAUUGGGCGUAAAGCGUCCGCAGGGGGCACCUCAAGUCUGCUGUCAAAGACCGGGGCUUAACCCCAGAAAGGCAGUGGAAACUGAAGUGCUAGAGUGCAGUAGGGGUAGAGGGAAUUCCCGGUGUAGCGGUGAAAUGCGUAGAGAUCGGGAAGAACAUCGGUGGCGAAAGCGCUCUGCUGGACUGCAACUGACACUCAGGGACGAAAGCUAGGGGAGCGAAUGGG